UGAAGUGCAGCAUCAUGCUUAAGUUGUGCCAUUGCUUCAUUCUAUAUUAUUUUGCCUUUCGCAUUAUGUUUUAGUCGUCAUGUAUUCAAAUUCAAGAGUUACGUUAUUUUAAUCAGUCAUUUCCUUUGUUUAAAUCUACAUCAUGGUGGGUUUUUAAUCAGUAUAAGUAUGAUAAAGAUAACUACAAAAAGUACAAGAAUAUAGAAUCAAUGUUUAAAACAGUAUCCGGACGCUUGCCUAGGUGAGGCAAGGCCUAAGCGCCUCGCAUAGUUACUAGGUGACGCGCUUCAGUGAACCGUUGAUAGGGCGCUUGCCUGAACCCAGGUGUUGAGCACCUCGGGCAAGCGCCUGGUUGAAGGCGAGCAAUCGAACCAGAUGGUCAAACUUGGUUGAAUAGUGACUUAUUUGGUUCAAUCGUACCAACUAAGCAUAGUAAAUAGUAAUAGUAACUCCCCUACCCAUUAACACUAGGUACUUUGCCGCUUUUGUCCCACCGUUGCCUUUGUCGCUGACGCACAGGCUUGAUGCUUCCUCUACUAUCGAUGGACAGGUCCGAAGCUCUCACUACUAUAGCUUUCGUGUGAAGUUCCCUCCACUAUCAUUGCUUUUGUGUGCAACUCCUUUCACCAUCGAGGGAUAGGACCGUAACUUCCUCCACCAUCAUUGAUGUCGUCCUGUCACAGACAAAUAUAUUGUAAACACAAGACGUUCGAUGUAAUGCUUGUAUAUUUUCGUAUCUUUCGGUUUUAUUUAUGUUUUGUACAGUAUGUAGAGGGCUUACAGUAGGCUUGAUAGCCCUAUUUUGGUUGUCUUUUGUGGUCAUUUUAGUCUUCUAAAUCCAGGUUAUGUUCAGUCGUUGCGCAAAGACAAAACUGUCCAGAAACAAAUCAUCCAAGCAACCAUUUUGGGGGGUUUUCUAGCUCCGUAGAGUGGUGCGGAGUGUCAGCCAACACAGUAUGCAGGAGCUAGCGGGGUGGCACAUGGUUGGAUGGGCCUUUAGGUCCUGAAGGAACCAUAAAAUGUUUCAGGGAGGCUAACCCUUUGUGGAUGGACACGCAAUGGUGCCACAUGAUUGAGGCACAACCAGCUAAGUUUGUGACGGAUGGUAUUAGAGUGGGAGAAAGAAGCACACUUAAAAACACUUGGUAUGCAAACGUAAGAGACCUAACAAAGCUACAUUGGGGGUAGCUAGCAUGAAGAACGUUUGGAUAGUUGAGUUUAAGCUAUGAAUCGAUGUUAGCAACUAAACUUGAUGGUGCUUAAGGCAAGUAGGACGUUUGGCAAAGGAUGAGAUAGUGCAAGGAGGGAUGGGUUACUUGGCAACCGAAAGAGUUGUACAAAGCUCAUAGAGGUAAAGAGGAAUUGUUAACUCAAAGAAUUCGGUACUCAUGCGAGAGCUUGUAUGCGAACAACGGACUGUUCGUGACCAUCACAAGGCGAUCAAAAUUUGGUGCCAUGAAGCAUGAAAACUCUCUUCAGCAUGGGAAGGAUACAUUCAUAUGAGGCUGAAGUAUAUGGUAGGUUUAACUUGUUGCUAGGCUUUGAGGGGCACAAUAGGGGCUGUAUUGACGAAGAGUCGUAAUCUAGCAAGUACGUUUACGGUGGCGAAAUAGCACACAGUUUGUUCAGUAAGGCAGAGUAGUCUAAGGGGAUGAUGGUCUUCAAAACUUUAGAGAGAAUGAUGCAAAGAGAAAAGUUACUCCAACGGGAUAGAUAUCUAGGUGGGAUAAGUCUUGUUCUUCCGAAAGAGAAUCAUGUGCAGCGAACCGCACAUGUUGUGGGGGUACCUUAAGACGACAACUCUAUAAAGCUUAAUGGAUUGAGCAAGCAGUGAUGAGUCAUUGCAUGAUCUCGCAUGAGGUAAUGCAUUGGUGGACGUAUUACGAGAUUAAGUAGGGGAGCAGCCUUAGAGAACACCAAACGAAGGCACAUUUAAAGCCGAUAUAAAGAUUGGACUCAAUGGAGGGUUGACUUGUCAUAUAGUGGGCGCGAGGGCCACCAUUAACUCAAUGCAUACUAAGGAGCAAAGCAAUAUGGGUGGAACUUAGUGAAGUGCCCAAGCCACAUGAAGGGAGUCGACAUAGAAGAUGAAACAUAGAGUGGAGGCGCAGAGCUUUUCUUGGAUAGAAGCCAAGGACAUGAACUCUUGUAGAGGCAAGAGCGAGAUUAUGUCAUUCCAUGGGUCCCUCAUUCUGAUGGAGCAGACUCAUCUUGCAUGGUGCCAAUGUCAGAGGGAGCUUCGAGGCACACACACUUUAUCUUGAUGAAACAAUUGAUGGAGGAACUAAGACAACUCAACUUGCGGAGGCGAAGUUGAGGUUAGAAGGGCUUGUCAUGAUGUAAGAGGAUGCAGAGAUAGGUACUCAUGAAGAAUAUGUCACAGUGUUGCUAUUUGAGUUGCCGCAAAGGAAAUUGUGCAUAGUGAAGAUUGUGCUAGGGGCAGGGGUCGAGGAUCCAGAUAAUGACAUACCAAUUUCAGCAAAGUCGAUGGACUUCGAGAGCUACUAGGCAACGAACUAUCCUAGAGUUGUGCUUCGUCCAUGUGUAACUCGAGAGCGGAUAGAUAAAGGUCGAUUGCCAAAGGAGCGAAUACAAUCGGAGGUGGCGAAAGCCCUGCGAUUGCUGGCAAAGGCCAUAUCUAGAGAGAUCGCAGUCCGAAUUUAUCCCACAAAGAUCAAAAUGCAAUAGAGAUAUUACCAGGAGGCGACAUAGUGCAACGGAUUGUGGUAAAACAAUUCAAGACAGUGUGACACGCACAUGGGAGAAGUCCCGUGAGGGACUUGAUCAUACAGAGGUAUAUCGGAGCGGCUAGAGAGUUAGACUAUUCUAGAGCUUAUAUUCGCUUGAGGGAGACCAACAAGUUAGAAGACAAACUCGAGUGAGUGAACGUUGCUACCAAGGACACAAGGAAGAUUAUAAUCAGCGCAAGCCCUGCAACAUGAUGAUAGAGGCUAUGUAUGAGAGUUAUAGUCUUUCUUUCUAUCAACCAAGGGAAACUACUUGGAGAACACAAAGGUGUUAAAGUAGGGGGUCAAAAGGGGCAAGAAAGCAAUGAUGAGUCUAGAGGGACUUAGCUACCCAAAACCAAGAAUUGAUUUGGAUGGAGGUAGACUCAGAGGAGUGCCAUAGUGCCGUAGAGGUGAACCUAAUGAUCGUAAAGAAAGGACGCAGAUGUGAGGCGAUAGAUAAUAGGGUCAUGGGUAUGGUAGUACCCUGGUACUAUAGAGGCAAAACUUCCAUAGCAUCAGCGAUCCCUUGCUCUCAUGGAGGGAGAGUGCAUGGUCGUAAAAGGAGACCGAAGAGGUGGAGAAUGCAAAGGUAAAUUCUAAGUAUCUAGAUAAUGUUAAAGGGUACAGGCUAGGGAAUUUCGUAAGACUGAUGUCUACAGGCUUCUCAUCAAGAUAGCCAAAAGUGGAGGACUUUUGGUCGAUGUAGGAGUGCUUAACCAAAGAACGGAGUAGGUAGUAUGAAGUGCUAUACCUUUUCUACUCAGAGGAGUAGGCGACAAAAAUGAUAGAGAAGAUGGUAUAAUCAUAGAAGCGGCUAAAAUUAUUAGAUAUUUGUUCCAAGUCAGCAAAAUUUUGUUCUUUUCGGGCAAAACUUUUUGCAUUUCAUAAGUUCGAUAACAAUGAUGAGGCGAAUCGCAGUAGCUAACUCAACGCAAGGAGUGUAAACACUUCGGGUGCUUCAGAAGUGUGAGCAAAGAGUAGACAAAUGCUAGUAAUCAACUUGAUGCAUGAAGUACAACUCUCGAGGAGGUGAGCGAAGUUAAAGAACCUUUGCCUUCUUAACUCUUAAGAGAAUGGGUAAAAUUGAAUACCUCAGUUCUCUUAUUUAUCCAAUAGAGGAGUUCUACACAUAUUCAAAGAUCCUUCCAAGAAACUUAGUGGGAAAUAAUAAUUGUUAAAUCUUCACCAAUUGUGAUCAAUUUUACUGAGAGUAGAUUGGCUAUCUCAUUUUCCAACAUAGUGUCAAUUAAAAGUAGAAGUAAUGUAAACCUAUUUGGAGGUGACAACUAAGUAAAAGUGGAAUUGAUGGGUAAAUUUUACGAAGGAAAGACCUUAAAAACUUCAAAAUCUACAAGGUGAUGUUUGUUAAGGCUCAAAUAGGUAUCCACCCAAUUUAAGCAAAAUGACGUUUGAGAGACUAGUGCAAAAUAAAGAAGAUCUUUUUCUUCAUUCGAAGGAUUCACAGGAACCAAGAUUGAUUAAGAUAAUUCGAUCGACCCUACACUAUAGUCAAAGUAAUUGGCAAGUUGAAACAACAUUGACGGAUCAAAGUUCGAUUACUAACAAUAGCGAUGGAGAGUAGUUGUGAGUCAAGAGGUACAUUGCAACUAGAGUAAAAGAUUGAAGAUUCAACAAAGGUGAGGAGAUGCAACGUUCGUAAAGGCUUCGACGAAGACGUCGAAAGAAUAAGUGGGGGAGAAUGUCAUGGACAGAUACGUAAAUAGGGUGUUCGAUGUAAUGUUUGUGUAUGUUUGUGUCUUUCAGUUUUGUUCAUAUUUUGCACAACAUAUAGAAGGCUUGCAGUAGGCUUGGUAGCCCUAUUUUGGUUAGCUUUUAUGGUCAUUUCAAUCUUGUAAACAUAGGUUGUGUGUAGUCGUUGUGCAGAGGUAAAACUGUCUAAAAAUAGGCUAUCCAGGCAACCAUUUCUGGGGUUCUCUAGCUCCGUAGGGUAGUGUAGAGUAUCAGCCACUCAGGAGCUACUCGGGUGGCAUAUGGCUAGAUGGGCGUUUAGGGUAGUGUCUAGGGUUGGUUCGUUUGUCUUGUUCCAUAGUAGUGUCAUGUGGGCACUUAUAGAGACUUUUGACUAUGAUGGAUCACCAUAAACCCUUUGUUACGUAAUUAUUCAGAGCUUGCAAAGUCUAUGUUUGUAAUUUACAUUGACUAUCAAGUGUUUAUUAAAAUGACUGCUUGUUGGAUUCCGAGUUAAACGCUUCCUCUAACUUGUCUUCUUUUUUGCAGGUCCUUAGGCGACUGUAAGAGGUUUUAGGGAGGCUAACUAUUUGCAGACGAAUACGCAAUGGUGCCACAUGACUUAGGCAAAAUCAACUAAAUCUAUGAUAGUCUGUAGCUUUGUCUACCGCUAUCGUCCUCUCCUACCUCACGUUCAACCAUCUGUGACUCCUUUUCUCCCCCUCUACUAUUAUGAUUACUAUUAAUAAUGGAUUAAAUACUAUUAACAAUUGAAUGUUAAUCCUAAACUAAUAUUAAAACUACUAUUAUCAUAUAAUAAACUAAAAUUGAUAUUAACCCUUAGAACUAUUGACCUAUUUCGAACUAAUUCUUAAUUAGAAUUGUUAUUAGUCUCUAUUUAGCAAUGUUAAUCUCUAUUUAUUUAGAAUUUUAUCAGGGUUUCAGGAUUAAUGGUAAGUGUACAAAUUAAUGCAGAAGAUUCAUCAAAAAUUUUAAUUUAAUAUUAUAUUUUUAUUUAUUUAAUUAUAUUUAUCAUUGAUAUUAUAUAUUUUUUAAUAUUUUAAUAUUUUAGAGUGUCUUGCUUCGCUCGAGUAGGCACCUAGGUGAGCGCCUAAUGCCUCGGACAUUUUGGAACCUUGACGCUUAGCAUUUUUAAAAAUACUGUAUAGAAUAAUGGCUCAAUAGUCACUUGACCUGACUCAAUUUAUACUCAAAUUUGCAACUUCAUACAUUUAGAGGAAUAAUGUUUUAUCAUUCCUUCAGCAUAUUUAGGUAUCAUGAUAUAUUGGUAUUGGGAUCACUAAUUAUCAGCUUCUUCUUCAGGUUCCAAAAGCUUCAGAAAAGCUGCCAAGAAAACCUUGUAUGAUACUGAAAUCAUGCUGGCAGCUUCAUCCUCUCACACCAACAAGCAAAUUCUGAGCUAACAAUUGAGAAGAAGGGGAAUUAGAACCCGAAGAAGUCAGCUGACUGAUAAGGGGAGAGAAGAUGAGUCUGCUCCAUUGCAAGCCAUGCA
Long non-coding RNA from Musa acuminata AAA Group (dessert banana), 5931 nucleotides. RefSeq lists it as uncharacterized. The record is from RefSeq and is a predicted model, not a curated record. NCBI's taxonomy places the organism in Eukaryota, Viridiplantae, Streptophyta, Magnoliopsida, Zingiberales, Musaceae. The transcript has 3 exons.